UGCCAUAUGGUUCCUAAGGGUAAAAGGAAAAAAAAAUACGUUGAGGUCGGGCUGAGAUUAUCGACAGAAUAUGGGAACUAUGGCGAUGUCGGUCGUCAUCAAGAUGGCAUUGAUUGUGUCGGAGCGUGAUCGAAUCGAAAAUCCGUCUUGUGUUUUGGACUAGUGAAGAUGAAGAUCACGAGUGACGCAAAUGGAUUUCACCGCAACAGGAUGGGAGAUGGUCUGGCCACGCCGAUCACGGUCGACAUGGUUUGACAAAACGCGGCCAACACAAACAAUUGAACACAAAUAAUUGGACGAGAACACAGUCUAGACGCGUGGAAGGAAUUUGACGGAGACUCACUGACGUCGAUGAAAUCUCCUCGCGAUAGAAGCCGAAAUUCGUCGCGCGUGGUCGUCGAUCCCAGAAAUUGGUCGGGGGGUUUGGUCUAGGACGUCGUGGCAAUUCUCCUGGUGCGAUGUUCAGCCUGCGGGCCUCCGAUUCGCCGGAAUCGGCCGUAGGCGGUGCCGUGUGCGGGGGCGCCUGGUAGGGCAAAGGGGAGCGGCGCGGCCACCGGGAACGAGAGAAAGGAGGCGGCGGCGCGACGCUUUGUG
Molecule: long non-coding RNA, 594 nt
Filed under: Brachypodium distachyon (stiff brome)
Lineage: Eukaryota; Viridiplantae; Streptophyta; Magnoliopsida; Poales; Poaceae
Description: long non-coding RNA (BDIS_LNC001965)
Source: RNAcentral